This 77-nucleotide transfer RNA is filed under the name Bifidobacterium eulemuris. Its description in RNAcentral is "tRNA-Met". It matches the Rfam family "tRNA". From Rfam's summary of the family: Transfer RNA (tRNA) molecules are approximately 80 nucleotides in length. Their secondary structure includes four short double-helical elements and three loops (D, anti-codon, and T loops). Lineage: Bacteria; Bacillati; Actinomycetota; Actinomycetes; Bifidobacteriales; Bifidobacteriaceae. The record is from RNAcentral.
CGCGGGGUGGAGCAGCUCGGUAGCUCGCUGGGCUCAUAACCCAGAGGUCCAUGGUUCAAAUCCGUGCCCCGCUACCA